GACGAACGCUGGCGGCGUGCUUAACACAUGCAAGUCGAACGGAAAGGCCCUGCUUUUGUGGGGUUCUCGAGUGGCGAACGGGUGAGUAACACGUGAGUAACCCGCCCUUGACUGUGGUAUGACUUCAGGAAACUGGGGCUAAUACCGGAUAGGAGCUCCUGCUGCAUGGUGGGGGUUGGAAAGUUUCGGUUGUGGGGGAAGGCCUCGCGGCUUAUCAGCUUGUUGGUGGGGUAGUGGCUCAACGAGGCUUUGACGGGUCGGCGGCCUGAGAGGGUAAGCGGCAUCAUUGCGACGGUGAUACCGACCCUACUCCGAGGGGAGGCAGUAGUGAGUAUUACACCACGAUGGGAGGAAUGCUGCUGCAACGACGCCGCGUGCGGGAUGACGGCCUUCUUGUUGUCACCUUCUUGCGACGAUGACGAAGCGGGAGUGACGGUAGUGGGUAAAGAAGCACCGGCUAACUACGUG
Molecule: ribosomal RNA, 468 nt
Filed under: uncultured bacterium
Lineage: Bacteria
Description: partial 16S ribosomal RNA
Rfam family: Bacterial small subunit ribosomal RNA
Source: RNAcentral